RNAcentral lists this ribosomal RNA (499 nucleotides) under uncultured bacterium. RNAcentral's name for it is "SSU rRNA". It matches the Rfam family "Bacterial small subunit ribosomal RNA", at positions 26 to 518 of the family's 1533-position model. The record is from RNAcentral.
AGAUUGAACGCUGGCGGCGUGCUUAACACAUGCAAGUCGAGCGGUAACGCGGGAGCAAUCCUGGCGACGAGCGGCGAACGGGUGAGUAAUGCUUGGGAAUCUGCCCAUUAGUGGGGAACAACCAGCCGAAAGGUUGGCUAAUACCGCAUACGCCCUACGGGGGAAAGCGGGGGAUCGAAAGACCUCGCGCUAAUGGAUGAGCCCAAGUCGGAUUAGCUUGUUGGUAGGGUAACGGCCUACCAAGGCGACAAUCCGUAGCUGGUCUGAGAGGACGACCAGCCACACUGGGACUGAGACACGGCCCAGACUCCUACGGGAGGCAGCAGUGGGGGAAUAUUGGACAAUGGGGGCAACCCUGAUCCAGCGACGCCGCGUGUGUGAAGAAGGCCUGCGGGUUGUAAAGCACUUUUAGUGGGGAUGAAAAGCUCAGGGUUAACACCUCUGGGUCUUGACCUAACCCGACAGAAAAAGCACUGGCUAACUCUGUGCCAGCAGCCGC